CUUUAAAAGAUCAAACUUGGUUCCUGUUUCAAUCCAGUUUAAUCUCCUCUGACCGUGAUUUCCACGCUAAUGUCUCCUAAUCAUCUCCAGGCUGUUGAUCUGUUCGUGACGGCGCUCUGAGGAAAACAAGAAAAAAUACUUUUGGAUCGGAGUUCGGUGUCUCUGACGGGAGAUUUUCACUGUGAGAAAGUCUUGAGAGUGUCGUUUUUUCCACCGGGGUUUGUUGGAAGUGUGAGAGGUGUGGGGGUUGGAGACUUUUUUAGUUUUUCAGUGUGAUGGUGCCAAAUAGGGAUGAGUAAGCAGUCCCCGGAGCCAGGGCUUGUUCUGGGCUCUUCGCUGACGUUUGCCAGCGCCCUCUUUUUACAGCGACAGACGGCCAAAGCUAGCAGCACAUCUCAGCGCCUGCAGCUCAUUCUCAUCCGCAGGCCGCUAAGCCCGGACCGACAUCCACAACCGCAGGUCUUGGAGCGAACCGCCGCUCGGUCCCUUUCAUUUAGCCCAUCACUCAUUCAUCGCUCUCUCUCUCUCUUUCACUCCCUAAACAUCUGUCUCUGUCAGUUUCUCCGUCCACCUCUGGCUCCUUUUCUAUCACUCUCUUUUCUUCUCUUUGCACUCUUUGUGGCUUCCCCGCUUGUCAAUCUGCUAAACCCGUUAAAUAUUACUCAGGGGGCAAAAAUGUGGCGUGAUGAAAUAACGGGGAACAUCACCCAGUUAUUGGUGAAGAUGGAGGCGGGUUUAUUUAUGAGCACCAAACUAAUAAAGCAGCUUACAGCACGGGUCUGGACCCUGUCUGCCUAAGAAAACAGCACUUUUCUGUUCAAUAAAGCUGAAAGGAAAAUCUGUUUCACUCUUUUACGGUCGGCUUUCCUCCACGUUUCUGGUCUCCUUCUUCAGCACUCAGCCUUUAUAGUGUUGUAGUGACUCAUUUUAACAUGUUGAGUGAAAAAGUAAUGAUUCACUUUUGGAAAUUAAAUUAUUAAAUGUCUUUUUUUAUACAAUGUCAGACGAGAAACAGAAUGCAUUAUCUAUUUAAUUCGCUUAUAUUUUGAGCUCUCAUCUCCGCUCCUUCAGUCCAGAUUUGCAGACGUGGACGUCAACAAAAGUUUGCACAAACUUUUGCAUUUUAGUGAUGAGUCUACAAUCCUCUUGAUUCUCCAUACACCUGGCGCUGAUCGUCCUUGUGAACGGUGCCGAUGUGUUGGUUCCCAUAGGACCAUCCUGCUGGAGCUCCUGAUGUCUAUGGCGGUGGUCGGCCAGCCUCGUCCUCCUCGAUGCGACCUUCUUGCUGAUCCUCGGCAGUUGCCCGUACAGGUCCUUGUUGGUACAGCUAUAGAUCAGCACUAGCUGCGUUUACAUGGGCGCAAAUAAUCGGAAUAAAGUAUAAAAUCAGAAUAAGAUAAAAAAGCGUCAUGUAAAUAUGUCGAUCGGAAGAUACUGAUUGAAUUGGCUUAAUCGGAAAGAAAUUGUAUUUGGAUCAAGAGGGGUGGUUUAUGCCGAUCGUUAUUCCUAAACGCAUCCAUGUAAACACUUAAUCGGAUCCUGACUCUCUAACCUGACUCGGUCUUCACCAUAGACUGUAUAUAGAAUAAAUGCCGUCUGCCUCCUCGCUCUGAGAACAGCACCCUCUGGUGACGGGAUGCAGUAUAGGUCAUAAAUCCUGCCUUCUCCAGCAAUCUCUAUGGAGCUGUGCUACUGCGCAAUGUUGGUUUCAGGAAGUGGAGAAAAAACGCAGAAUUACCGAGAACUUUUCGUCUUCAAAUCCGUAAACUGAUGGAAGGCGGAACCAAGACUAUUGAGGUCAGAACAGGAGGUUAUGUGCCGUGUCUGCUCCUCCGAUAAUGGCGUAAUGAUGUCACAUCUGCAUGCACAGCGCAACCUUUGACAGAACAGUAAAAUAAGUAUGCAAGGUCGCCAUCUACUGACGACAUUUAGCAGGAGGAAAAACUCUUGAAUUGGAUGAAGUGAGUCACUGUUGUGUUUGUUGGUUUGUUGACAUCACAGGCGUAAAUACAACUCUUCUUCUUCUUCUUCUUCUGCGGUUGUUUCAGUGAAAUCAGACAACUCUGCACAUGUCCAAAUCUUUCUAAUCUGAAUAAAUCCCGCUGCAUAUAAACGCACGUCAUGAUCGGAUUAUUUGACUUUGUGUUCAUAUAAACAGUGGAUUCAGAUUUUCUGAUCCCUCAAAUUUUUAAUCAGAUCAAGAAAUUUUGGACGACUGUAAACACGACUGUUGAUCCAAUGUGGUCUAUAUCUGUGUAAUAUUAUUGCAGGUCUUUCAUCUUCUCUUCUGCAGAUCCAGCUGUUCAAUGAUGCAAACAUUAUUAACAGCCAAUAGAUGACAAACACCUCUGGGGGUCGAUAUUGAAGUUAAAGACUCUCCUCGUCAAAUUAGCAGUUAGCUCGGAGCAGGUGAGCUGAUUUUUCCACCUUUCAUGGUCCGGACGAGUGCGGUGGCACAGCUGGAGACAAAGAAAGCUCCCUGCUGCUCUGUAACAAGCACCUGAAAGCCAAGCCGGGCAUGUUCUCUGACAAUCAAUGAAAGGCAUUAUAAGAAUAACUGGUAAUCUAGCAUGAAGCACAGGUACUGUUGCUAUGGUAACCUCUGAACACUGGUUUAAAUCAGAGGUAAUUGACUCCUUGAAAAGUCCUGUUAUACUGGACUAAAGGGGGCAUGAUGACGGAUCAGGACUUUGAUACAGACUCAGAAAUAUCUAUAAAACAACAGAUAUCCGUGAUGUUAAAGGUUAGAGGUCCGACAUACACUAUUACAGGGAUCCAAACUGACCAAUCAGGAGGGCUCCAGACAUAAACACCAGAUCAUCUCUCUUCCUGUCAAACUUUCACCUGCUCUGUCCUUCACUGGUUUCCUCUCCUCUCUCCUCUCUCCUGACUGCUCGGCCUCAUCCUUCCUGAGCUGAAGCUCAGUGUGCCAGCUCACAGCUCAGGAGAUAAUGCUCACAGCUACAGGACAGAUUUAUUCCAACGUAGCUGGCCGUCUACAUGGCCAAGAGGAUCCUCGUCUCGUCCCCGAGCAAUCCCCGUCCUCCGGAGUGACGGGGACAAAGACGAGGAGCGAGGACCCACCGGGGGGCUUCAGCAGCGGUAAAGAGAGCACUCAUGGGCACAGAGAGAGGGAUCAGACCUUUCUCCAGCUGCAGCUCCCUCCCUCCUACUCUAAGUUGACGCUCCACCCUCACUUUACUCUGAGGACUCUCUGCCUCGGUCACGUCCCGUCUGUCUCUCUCCACACACCCACACAUGUGAAGACCAGUCAUCCAGGAGGAUUACCAAACUCACAGAGGAGUUGGUGGAUGGGAAAUGGUUCUUACUCGUACAUCCUCAUUAUUGGAGCAGAAAAAUGCUGUUAUACUGUCAGCUCUAUCAUCCUGUGUUCGCUCUACGAACUGAUAUGAGUCUGGACCGAGAGAGACGUCCUCCAAUUCAGGCUUGGCUUGGUGAUUCAAAGGGAUACUCCGGCGUAAAAUUAAUUUAGGGUCAAACACACCGUAACACCGAGUUAGACACCCCCUCCAGAGUUGAAUGUUGCCGACCGCUUGCUUCUCUAGUUUUACCAACUUUAGUAGGGUCACAGCCAUAGUACUAGACACCAAACAUCUUUUUAACUUUAGCAAAGAGACUAAACACAACUCACCUACUCUCUCUAAUUUUACACCGGAAUAUCCCUUUAAGCAUCUUCCCCAUGUAACGUAGUUGUAGUCAUGGUUGUAGCAAAGGUCGCCAGUUUGACUUCUAGCUGCAAACCUUUUGCUGCAUGUCAUUCAAGCUGCAACCUCCAGUGAUCCAAAGCGCAGAUGCAAAAGUGUAAAAAUCUGCAGUUCCUCGAGUGUCCACUUGAGGCAGUCUGCAAAAGUUGCACACGCACGCUCAUCAAAAUAAACGUGUUUGCAGUUUGGUAGGAAUCAGUAUCUCAUGAGAUAUCACGGUUAAGAGUUUUGCAUAAUUCGACUCCAUCAACAGACUGAUAAAAACCUCAUUUUCACCUCUUUGCGUUUUGCUACGUCAACCAGAAAUUUAACCGAGUCAGCAUUUUGCGGUGAAGGCUUCAGCGGAAACAAACGGGUGAAGUCAAGGGCGCCAUAUUCAUGUUUCACACAAUCUACACCCUGUCACACUCUUAUUUUUUCAGCUGUCUGGGAAAAAGUCCAAAAAUAAUCAAAGAAGGAUCUGUGUGAUAAAAGUCGUAUUUCUAUCCCUUAAAAAGAAAAAACACAAACCAACAACAACAGACUGAACUCAAACGAGCCUGUAGUUGAGGUGCAGAAUAGAGACAUCUAGUGUAUUUUAUCUCUUUAAAAUCACACAGAUUUUUAUCACUCGCAGCAGGUUAAACACCGUGAGGUAUCUCUGCUGACAAAUCUGAAAAUCUGAUCCAGUAAGUAGGUCAACAUUAAUCCCAAAUCUUAACCACCGGUUUUGGCAGGCGAUCACAAAUUGAGGUCAGAACACGCUGGUGGCGGUCAUUUUUAAAAAGACAUUAACAUUUUUGUUAAAGCGUUACUGUAUAUGUGAGGCUGCUGCUGCUGUGAAUCCCUGGAAUAACUUGGUUGGAUUUCUCUUUAGUCACUGACUGCUUUAGCUGCGGCUCUGCUGAAGCUCAUAAGCUGUUGAUUUGGAUUUUUCAGUCCAAAAACGCCGCUAAGCUAUCAUUAAAAUCAAUUAUGCGUGCUGAAGGGUUUCUGUUUUUCGAGAGGAUUUUAUUUCAUCCCACUUUUUUUUUUUUUUUCUUACCCAGAGGUUGUACAGGCUGUUAAACCUCCGCCCGCCUCAGGGCAGUGUAAUUCAGACAGUAAUUUAAAAAAGUGACCAGAGAGAGGCGGGCCGAGAGCCGCGGAGAUAAAUAAUAAAACAAUAAUAAAAACUGGGAUGAGCCCGAGUAUCAGCUUUAGGUCUACCUCCCGCGUCUGCUAUCUCUCGGGAACUCUUGCAGAGCAACAGAUGGUAAACUCUGAAUGACUCAGCCGCAGCGCACUCAUGCACGGUCCUCUACUGCCACCUGCUGGUCGCACAUGAGACAAACAAAGUGCAUGAAGAAAGUCAAACACAGGAGAAAGAUGUUUGAAUGCAGCUUAUGUGAAGUGCUUGAUUAAAAUAAGAAUUAUAAAGCGCCCCUGCGUCCUCAAACAGUUCCAGGAAUUGCUUAAUAAAUCAAUUUAUCUCAAUAAUUGAAGUUUGGACGUCUAUUGUGAGCGAUGAUGAAGAGAUCUGCAGGCACACUCAGCCUCUAAUGAUAAACACAUGUGAGUCUUCCCACUAUCUGAGCCAAUUAUAGACAGCAGACUCUAAACAAUCUAUCACGGCCACGCAGAAAAAUGACCCCCGUGAUACAAAAGGAGGAUGAAAAAUGAGCAGGAAUGUGAGGAGGUGAGAGCAGAUGGAUUAUGAACUAUAAAUGUAUAACAAAUGAACCGGGCAGGGGGCUCAGGCCUGCCAGACCUGCUCAAUCAAUCACCGCUCUAACAAGGCGGUGGGCAGCGAGCUGUCGCCUCACACAGAAAGACACACAGACACACAAAGACGGAUUUAAUGGUGGAAGUUUGUUAUGAGGUUGUUAUCGAAUCACACGGACAUGUCCGUCUUUGUCCACUGUGUCUCCUCCGUCCUCUGUACACUCAUGUUUUUAUGGACGAUAUUUACAAGACGAUGAACUUCAUGAUUGUGGCGAUGUCCUGAAUGUUAAAAACUCAUGUUUACAUCACUUCACUUCUCCAGUUAUGCUGUUUGUGCUGAUAUGUGCAAAUAAAACCCCAAACUAAGUCUUUGUAAAACCCUCAAAUACGUCUAACCUGAGUGUUUAUCAAAUCAAUAACAUCACACCCAGUAUAACCUGAAUAAACCCUUUAUUAAUAUCUAAGCGAAGCCUUAGUUACAUCCUAAACAAAACAUGAAUUAACUCUUAAUUUCAGUCUAAACUAAUUCUUUAUAACACCAUCAAAGAAGUCUUACCUGAGUGUUUAUCAAGUUAAUAACAUUACUAAAUAAACCCUUUAUUAAUACCUAAACAAAACAUUAAUUUAAUCUUUAUUUUAGCCUAAACUGAACUUUAAAACAGCCUUAAUACACCUAAACAAGUCUUAACUAAGCUUUUUGACAAAACAUGGAUUUAGACUUUAUAACACUCUUAAUUAAGCUUUUAUUACAUCUUAAACUAAAGCCUUAACUAGACCUUUAACAAACACUACACCCUCAACUACACCUAAAAUAAACCUUCAUUUCACCUUCAGAUAAGCCCUGACUUCGUCUCUAUGACACCAUUAUCAAAUCCUUUAUUACACCCUUAGCUACGCCUUAAUUUACUCUAACCUAGCUUUGUUUUUACACCCUUAAAAAGUGUAAACCUAGCUUUUAUUAUAACCUUACUAGAGCUGUCCCGAUAUGAUAUUGAUAUCGGAUAUCGGUCCGAUAUCAGUCAAAAAACAAAUAUCCGAUUAUAUCGGCCUGCAUCUAAAAUCUCUGAUAUCAGCACUCCAGACUCCACUCCAGCACCUCUAUCUAGCAGCGCCCGGAUCUAGCAUGCAGAGCUGAUGUAAUCACAACAACAGUGUGUACUAAAGUACUAACAAAGUAGAGAGGAGUCGGGGUGAUGUCGGCCCUGUGUCAAUAAGUUUGGUUAAAGUCCCUAACAAGUUUGUGCCAAUAUCGGAUCAAUAUCGGUAUCGGCUGAUACUGAAAGUUACCAUAUCGGUAUCGUAUUGGAAGUGAAAUAGUUGCAUCGUGACACCCCUAAAUCUGAAUUU
This is a non-coding RNA of Xyrichtys novacula (pearly razorfish), 6755 nucleotides long. The record is from the annotation of a GenBank genome assembly. NCBI's taxonomy places the organism in Eukaryota, Metazoa, Chordata, Actinopteri, Labriformes, Labridae.